UCAAGCCUUGGAUGCUUCUAGACCUGAGAAAUUUUUUCUCUACCCAUUACCUUAAAACAGAGCUUCUGUGUGCAGGUUUGGGCCCCUGGUGUAUAGAAGGAGUCUAGAGGAGAAUGAAGCUGGAGUGUAUUUAAGAUUCCAACACCCCUGCUGUGCUAAGUCUCAGGUCAGGUAGUCUGUGGAUAGUCAUCUUGCAUCCAUUUGCUCAGUAAUUGGCAAAUACUAAAAUAACUCCACCAGAUUUGGCUGGGAGCAUGGCAUACAGAUUUAACAUGUAAAGGGAAGAGAAGUCAGUGUAAUUCCAUGGAUCCAAGUGGCACUUCUAGAGUUGCUUAGGAAACUGCCAGGGAAAUCUGAGCAUGCCCCAGGGAAUCAUGGGAAAGACAAUACACAGGAGAAAGAGAGGACUCUGAGGAGUCAACCCCUCAGGUACUGCCCAGCAUGCCAGAGAGUGGCUCUGAGCAUUGUGGUCUCAAACACAUAAUGACUCCUGGGCUCCCCUCUUUUUGAGACACAACAUAGCCUCCUGCAGGAAACAAGCUAAACUCAGUCUUUGCUCCAUUCAUCAAGGUCCAGUUGGACAUGAGAUAGAUAUUAUGGGAGCCUCCUCUAGGUUCAAGUAUGUCCUUAACCCUCACUCUUUUUCUCAAACUGAGCCCUGUGAUAGUUUGGGUAGACUUCCUUUCUCAUCUAUAGCCCAGCCUCUGGAAUGUGGUUACCCAAAGGCAGGCAACAGCCUUUCCACUCUUAAGAGCAUCCUAAGUCAGUAUGUGCCUGUCUCAACUUUGAAAUGUAUAAUGCUGUAAAAGGCAAGUCCAUUUUCUUACAGGUUUUCGCUAAGCCUUUCCCCGAGGAAAAGGAAGAUGUGACAAAGUUUGCCUCACCCUCCCCAUCCUUGGCUGGGUUUAGGUUUCUCACUCCAAAAGCUGCAUCUGUUGUUCCUGGCUAAAUAUCAAAAGAUAUGAACCUGACCUAGUCCCAGCUUUCUCCCCUGCCCACAUGGGUCUUUCCGCUUUACUCAACUCCCAGGCAUCAUCUACUUCUUUCUCUCUGUACCUUUCUUUGUGGUAACUGGCAGGACACAGCAGGAGUGUUCUAGAGCCAAAGGUCAUGAGUGCUAUUAAUGAUGGCUCCAGAGAGCAGCAGACAGACUGUCUCUGCAGGAGAUUCCCCUUCUUCAGGCCAGCACCUGUGUCAAGGGCUAAGAAUAGGAGCAGGAGCAGGCAAGGACCUAGAGACACUUGCCCUGGGAUGCCCCUGCUGCAUGGAGAAAAUGUGUAUGUCCAGGUAGGAGAUGCUGCCCUGGCUGGUCUCCAGCAAGAAUCCCUAGCCCCCUCCUCAAACUAAAGUCAGUCAGCAAUCUCUGUUCCUGCCUUCAGGGAGGAUGGCUUCUAGAACAUCACCCUCAAAUCAAGGAGGGAAGAUAGAUAUGACUUCCCUCUUGGUGACUGGGAAAGCACCUAUCUCUCUGUAACCUUUGGCCAUUUGUCACUAUGGAUACAGAUGAGCAGUUGGACAUCUGACUCUAAUCCAUCCUCAAUGUAGACCUGGGGUCCUCAGGCUUGGAGGCCUGUUUUACCUUCACACUUCCUAGGUGCUCUGCCUAAAGCCAGAAAGACCAGGAAGGGCCACAGGCUGAUGCAGGGCUCCACUGUGAUUAUGAAUAACUCACCUCUUGGUGCCUUGGUUUCUCCAUCAGUAAAGUGGGCAGAUCACGGCUGCUUUCCAUCCUGCUCAGAGGUGCUCCAGUGAUUCAGUCCGUUGCCUGUACUGAAGGAGUCUCAUAGGAAUAAGGGUGACCCUGUUUCUCGGGAACUAGAAGUAUGGAAAAGGAGGAGAUUGCAGAUACACUUGACACCCAGGAGCCCAGGGAGUGAGCAGGGAGGACAUGUCGACGGAGAUAGAGCCUUGGAUGCUCACAUGUGCCACAGCACCGUUAACUCAGUAUAGUAGCAUCCGACCAGGGACAUCUGGCCACCUGGCACCUGCUGGGCAUCUGUCACUUCUUAAGUCCCUUGAUGUUAGUUUUUCCUGAAUGACCAGAUAAAAUACAGGGGAAUGUGCUUCUGGAAAUGGCUAGUCACAGCAUGUCUGACAGACAUCAGAUGGGAUUGGCAAAGUGACUCUGGGAUGGUGUGGGAGGUGGCCAGAGCUCUUGGGAAGGGUCUCUUGCCUUUGCUCAAAUCCUCGAGGCUUCUCUUCUCAAAUGGACUCAUCAUCCCCAGGACUCACGCAGAGUACAGAGAGCCCCGCAUGUACUUUUUCAACACCUAUAUUGUCAGCUACAGAUGCUCAUGCCCGUCACGGGUCCUUCACCACUCCCUGGUGUGCUCUGCGCAGAGCCUGCAGGCAAAGCUUCAGAGAUAUGUGGGACCAGGGAGUGACAUGCAAUUGGUUUUCCUUUCUUUUCCUUUCUUUUCCUUUCUUUUCUUUUCUUUUCUUUUCUUUUCUUUUCUUUUCUUUUCCUUUCUUUCCUUUCCUUUUCUCUUCUCUUCUUUUCUUUCUAUUUUACCAAAUUGGGUUAUUUUCCUCCUCACAAUUUGAAUUGAAAAACUUAAGUUCAAUUUCUUUUCCUCUCCCUGACCCCCACCUCCCUUUUAAACUAUGGUUUGACUGUUAUCAUUUCAAAUACCAAGAUACACUUGGAACAAGAAAACAGACCAAUCCUAAGAAUGUCACUCUUCUUGGGACCUAACCCAGAGUGAGAGCAGGUGGGAGCAUGGAGGACAUUAGCACUCAGGGGUGCAGCCAUGAUACCAAUUCUAAACUUGUUCUGUGAACCUUCUUGCAAAAAGAGAAGUAUGGAAGUCCAAGUGCCCGUGGAUCAGUCAACCUAGUCCUGGGCUAGAUCUAUUCUGGUAUAGAAAUUCUCACCAAAAGUU
This 2882-nucleotide long non-coding RNA is filed under the name Mus musculus (house mouse). RNAcentral's name for it is "long non-coding RNA chr14:63824260-63827142". Lineage: Eukaryota; Metazoa; Chordata; Mammalia; Rodentia; Muridae. The record is from RNAcentral.